GGGGGGACAGGGUGACAGGUGGUGCAUGGUUGUCGUCAGCUCGUGUCGUGAGAUGUUGGGUUAAGUCCCGCAACGAGCGCAACCCUCGACCUUAGUUGCCAGCAUUCAGUUGGGCACUCUAAGGUGACUGCCGGCUAAAAGUCGGAGGAAGGUGGGGAUGACGUCAAAUCAUCAUGCCCCUUAUGACCUGGGCUACACACGUGCUACAAUGGGCGGUACAAAGGGUCGCGAACCCGCGAGGGGGAGCCAAUCCCAAAAAGCCGCUCUCAGUUCGGAUUGCAGGCUGCAACUCGCCUGCAUGAAGCCGGAAUCGCUAGUAAUCGCGGAUCAGCAUGCCGCGGUGAAUACGUUCCCGGGCCUU
This 361-nucleotide ribosomal RNA is filed under the name uncultured Anoxybacillus sp. Its description in RNAcentral is "bacterial SSU rRNA". It matches the Rfam family "Bacterial small subunit ribosomal RNA", at positions 1020 to 1382 of the family's 1533-position model. The record is from RNAcentral. Lineage: Bacteria; Bacillati; Bacillota; Bacilli; Caryophanales; Anoxybacillaceae.